AUUCCAGCUCCAAUAGCGUAUAUUAAAGUUGUUGCAGUUAAAAAGCUCGUAGUUGGAUUUCUGGUUUGAUGCCCUGGCCCGCUGCUAUUUUGGUAGUGUGUGCCGGUUGUGCGUCUGCCAUCCUUCUAGGGAACGUUCCUUCUCUUCACUGAGCCGGGUUCGUGAUCUAGAUCGUUUACUUUGAAAAAAUUAGAGUGUUUAAAGCAGGCUUUUGCUAUGAAUACAUUAGCAUGGAAUAAUAAUCUAGGACUUCGGUGCUAUUUUGUUGGUUUGCACACCAAGGUAAUGAUUGACAGGGACAGUUGGGGGUAUUCGUAUUUAAUUGUCAGAGGUGAAAUUCUUGGAUUUAUGAAAGACGAACUACUGCGAAAGCAUUUACCAAGGAUGUUUUCAUUA
RNAcentral lists this ribosomal RNA (396 nucleotides) under Ebriida sp. Its description in RNAcentral is "partial small subunit ribosomal RNA". It matches the Rfam family "Eukaryotic small subunit ribosomal RNA", at positions 582 to 975 of the family's 1831-position model. The record is from RNAcentral. Lineage: Eukaryota; Cercozoa; Thecofilosea.